Molecule: long non-coding RNA, 390 nt
Filed under: Rattus norvegicus (Norway rat)
Lineage: Eukaryota; Metazoa; Chordata; Mammalia; Rodentia; Muridae
Description: long non-coding RNA NONRATT004476
Source: RNAcentral
UCUGUCUCUCCCAUUCCUUCCAUCUGUCUGUCCUCUGUCUGUCCUCCCCUCCUCCUCCCUCUACCCUAAUUUCGUUAUCCUUUCCCUUCUCCGCCUUCCCCUGCUUGCCCGGCUCUACCCUCCGCACCCCACCCGCCCCGCCCCUUGCCUUUGCUCUGCCUCCACCUUUCGGGUCCCCUCUCUCCUGUCCCACACUGUUUCACCCCAUGCCUUCCUGGGCUUGGCCUUCCGUCUUCCUUUCCCUCCUCCUCUCCAUUGGUCACUCUCUCCACUCCUCUCUUCUCUUGCCGAUAUGUCCUUUGGCAUCUGUCACUUCCCCUUUGGCCAACCUCCCGCCCCCACAUUUCUAUAUUCUCCAUCUUUUCCUGGUACCUCUGUCUGUCCUUUCCU